UUGGUUAAGUUAGAAAGGGCGCACGGUGGAUGCCUUGGCACUAGGAGCCGAAGAAGGACGGGACUAACACCGAUAUGCUUUGGGGAGCUGUACGUAAGCGUUGAUCCAGAGAUUUCCGAAUGGGGGAACCCACUAUCUUUAGUCGGAUAGUAUCCUUACGUGAAUACAUAGCGUGAGGAAGGCAGACCCAGGGAACUGAAACAUCUAAGUACCUGGAGGAAGAGAAAGAAAAAUCGAUUUCCUGAGUAGCGGCGAGCGAAACGGAAAGAGCCCAAACCAAGAAGCUUGCUUCUUGGGGUUGUAGGACACUCUAUACGGAGUUACAAAAGAAAGUUAUAAAUGAAGCGGUCUGGAAAGGCCCGCCAAAGACGGUAACAGCCCGGUAGUUGAAAUGGCUUUCCCUCCAGAGUGGAUCCUGAGUACGGCGGAACACGUGAAAUUCCGUCGGAAUCCGGGAGGACCAUCUCCCAAGGCUAAAUACUCCCUAGUGACCGAUAGUGAACCAGUACCGUGAGGGAAAGGUGAAAAGCACCCCGGAAGGGGAGUGAAACAGUUCCUGAAACCGUGUGCCUACAAGUAGUUAGAGCCCGUUAAUGGGUGAUAGCGUGCCUUUUGUAGAAUGAACCGGCGAGUUACGAUUUGUUGCAAGGUUAAGCGGAAAAAGCGGAGCCGUAGCGAAAGCGAGUCUGAAUAGGGCGCAUAAGUAACAGGUCGUAGACCCGAAACCAGGUGAUCUACCCAUGUCCAGGAUGAAGGUAAGGUAAUACUUACUGGAGGUCCGAACCCACGCACGUUGAAAAGUGCGGGGAUGAGGUGUGGGUAGCGGAGAAAUUCCAAUCGAACUUGGAGAUAGCUGGUUCUCUCCGAAAUAGCUUUAGGGCUAGCCUCGAGGUAAAGAGUCAUGGAGGUAGAGCACUGUUUGGACUAGGGGCCCUUCUCGGGUUACCGAAUUCAGAUAAACUCCGAAUGCCAUGUACUUAUACUCGGGAGUCAGACUGCGAGUGAUAAGAUCCGUAGUCGAAAGGGAAACAGCCCAGACCACCAGUUAAGGUCCCCAAAUAUAUGUUAAGUGGAAAAGGAUGUGGGGUUGCUUAGAC
Molecule: ribosomal RNA, 1097 nt
Filed under: Listeria monocytogenes
Lineage: Bacteria; Bacillati; Bacillota; Bacilli; Caryophanales; Listeriaceae
Description: bacterial LSU rRNA
Rfam family: Bacterial large subunit ribosomal RNA
Source: RNAcentral